GUGAGGAAUAUUGGUCAAUGGGCGAGAGCCUGAACCAGCCAAGUCGCGUGAAGGAAGAAGGAUCUAUGGUUCGUAAACUUCUUUUGCAGGGGAAUAAAGUGCGGGACGUGUCCUGUUUUGUAUGUACCCUGAGAAUAAGGAUCGGCUAACUCCGUGCCAGCAGCCGCGGUAAUACGGAGGAUCCGAGCGUUAUCCGGAUUUAUUGGGUUUAAAGGGUGCGCAGGUGGUUUGAUAAGUCAGCGGUGAAAGUUUGCAGCUUAACUGUAAAAAUGCCGUUGAAACUGUCGGACUUGAGUGUAAAUGAGGUAGGCGGAAUGCGUGGUGUAGCGGUGAAAUGCAUAGAUAUCACGCAGAACUCCGAUUGCGAAGGCAGCUUACUAAGCUACAACUGACACUGAAGCACGAAAGCGUGGGGAUCAAACAGGAUUAGAUACCCUAGUAGUCC
This 445-nucleotide ribosomal RNA is filed under the name uncultured bacterium. Its description in RNAcentral is "partial 16S ribosomal RNA". It matches the Rfam family "Bacterial small subunit ribosomal RNA", at positions 354 to 796 of the family's 1533-position model. The record is from RNAcentral.